AUGCGAUACGUAGUGUGAAUUGCAGAAUUCAGUGAAUCAUCGAAUCUUUGAACGCACAUUGCGCCCUUUGGUAUUCCAAAGGGCAUGCCUGUUCGAGCGUCAUUUGUACCCUCAAGCUUUGCUUGGUGUUGGGCGUUUUUGUCUUUGGCCCGCCAAAGACUCGCCUUAAAAUGAUUGGCAGCCGGCCUACUGGUUUCGCAGCGCAGCACAUUUUUGCGCUUGCAAUCAGCAAAAGAGGACGGCAAUCCAUCAAGACUCCUUCUCACGUUUGACCUCGGAUCAGGUAGGGAUACCCGCUGAACUUAA
RNAcentral lists this unclassified non-coding RNA (306 nucleotides) under uncultured Curvularia. Its description in RNAcentral is "partial contains 5.8S ribosomal RNA, internal transcribed spacer 2, and large subunit ribosomal RNA". The stretch from base 1 to 102 matches the Rfam family "5.8S ribosomal RNA", at positions 53 to 154 of the family's 154-position model. The record is from RNAcentral. Lineage: Eukaryota; Fungi; Ascomycota; Dothideomycetes; Pleosporales; Pleosporaceae.